UACAGAGACUGCAAGCGUUAAUCGGAAUUACUGGGCGUAAAGCGUGCGCAGGCGGUUGUGCAAGACAGAUGUGAAAUCCCCGGGCUUAACCUGGGAACUGCAUUUGUGACUGCACGGCUAGAGUACGGCAGAGGGGGAUGGAAUUCCGCGUGUAGCAGUGAAAUGCGUAGAUAUGCGGAGGAACACCGAUGGCGAAGGCAGUCCCCUGGGCCUGUACUGACGCUCAUGCACGAAAGCGUGGGGAGCAAACAGG
This 253-nucleotide ribosomal RNA is filed under the name uncultured bacterium. Its description in RNAcentral is "partial 16S ribosomal RNA". It matches the Rfam family "Bacterial small subunit ribosomal RNA", at positions 524 to 776 of the family's 1533-position model. The record is from RNAcentral.